GGGGUUAGUGAGGUGUGUAGUGUGUGUAGUGUCUGGGGUUGGUAGUGGGGAUAGUGUAGUGCGUAGUGUGUAGUGUCUGGGGUUGGUAGUGGGGACAGUGUAGUGUGUUGUGUUUGGGGUUGGUAGUGGGGUAAGUGUUGUGUGUAGUGUCUAGGGUUGGUAGUGGGGAUAGUGAAGUGUGUAGUGUCUGGGGUUGAAGUGUGUAGUGUCUGGGGUUGGUAGUGGGAAUAGUGUAGUGUGUAGGUUCUGGGGUUGGUAGUGGGGAUAGUGUAGUGUGUAGUGUCUGGGGUUGGUAGUGGGGUUAGAGUAGUGUGUAUUGUGUAGUGUCUGGGGUUGAUAGUGGGGUUAGUGUAGUGUGUAGUGUCUAGGGUUGGUAGUGGGGUUAGUGUAGUGUGUAGUGUCGAGGGUUGGUAGAGGAGUUAAUGUAGUGUGACGUGUCUGGGGAUGGCAGUGGGUAUGUGAAGUGUGUAGUGUGUAGUGUCUGGGGUUGGAAGAUGGGUUCGUGUAGUGUGUAGACUGUAGUGGCUGGGGUUGGUAAUGGGGAUAGUGUAGUGUCUGGGGAUGGUAGUGUGGUUAGUGUAGUGUCUGGGUUGGUAGUGGGAAUAGUGUAGUGUGUAUUGUCUGGGGUUGGUAGUGGGGAUAGUGUAGUGUGUAGUGUCUGGGGUUGGGAGUGGGGUUAGUGUAGUGUGUAGUGUCUGGGUUUGGUAGUGGGGUUAGUGUAGUGUGUAGUGUGGUGUAGUGUCUGGGGUUGGUAGUGGGGUUAGUGUAGUGUGUAGUGUGUGGUGUCUGGGGUUGGUGGUGGGGAUAGUGUAGUGUGUAGUGUCUGGGUUGGUAGUGGGGUUGGUGUAGUGUGUAGUGGCUGGGGUUGGUAGUGGGGUUAGUGUAGUGUGUAGUAUCUGGGGAUGCU
Molecule: long non-coding RNA, 907 nt
Organism: Oncorhynchus tshawytscha (Chinook salmon)
Lineage: Eukaryota; Metazoa; Chordata; Actinopteri; Salmoniformes; Salmonidae
Source: Ensembl